Long non-coding RNA from Antechinus flavipes (yellow-footed antechinus), 3064 nucleotides. RefSeq lists it as uncharacterized. The record is from RefSeq and is a predicted model, not a curated record. The transcript is spliced from 4 exons. Lineage: Eukaryota; Metazoa; Chordata; Mammalia; Dasyuromorphia; Dasyuridae.
CGCCGCUCUAGUCAGUCUCCGCUGUGCGGGUCAGCGUGCGGACUGCGAGGGCUGCAGUGCCCCCUCGGGAAUGUGACUGACCCGUGCCUGGGAAGCUUGGCGGCUUGGCUGUGCGUCUUCCACACCUCUACCUGUCCUCUUCUCCCUUUCCUUUAAAAAAGAAGGAAAGAAAGAAAAGAAAACCCAGCAAGUUCCAUCAGACACACUCCAGAGGCUCCCCUUAACCGUGCAGCUUCUUUGCGAGGCAGCGGCGGCGGCACCAGUAGGAGUCGCCGGGAGCUGCUCCGGGUCGCGCGCCGGUCCGGCGGAGCCCCCAAGCCCUAGCCGCCGCUUGCCGCCCCACUGUAGGCUGUGACUCCGGAGCCCUUGCCCCAAGCCGAGGCUUAGUGCGGACCGCGCCAGCCGUCUUCUUCUACCAUCUCCAGUACAACCACUGUCUCCUCCUGCGCUCCUGCUCCAGCUUCUGCUCCGAUACAGCCGGGCUGGGCUGAGGCCAGGCUCCGCAAUCCCAGCUGCCACCCUCGAGCCUAGGCUGGGGCCGCUGCUGCAGCCAAAGGCUGCUGGAUCCCAAUGAUCUUGAGAUGCAGCUCUUGAGAAUGGCAUACAACAACUGAGAUGAUGCCUUCCUUCUAUUACAGAUGAAUACAAUGUGAGCUUUGGCAAAGAGACUUCCAGCACACUUGAAUGAUUGGAUUCUAUCAAAGGAAGAAUUGCAUGACAUCAUCUUUCCAAAACAAUACUGUGGGCAGGUGAGAGUCCCAUAUAUUAAUAAAAUGAUAGCAGUUGUUACGCUGUCAUCUGUGGUAAAUCUUUGGUGAACAUAUGAACAUGGUAAAACAUGAACAUUAAAAAAAAAAGUAUGACAAAUCAAAUCAGCAAACAUUUAUUAAGCACCUGCUAUGUGCCAGGUACUGUUCUAAGUUCUGGGAAUACAAAGAAAGGAACCCAAAAAAAUCCCUCCCCUUCCAAAACAAAUAAAAGUCCUUGAUGUCAGAGAGCUCAUAGUCCAGUGAGAGAAAUAACAUGAAAACAAUUAAUACAAGUAAGAUAUAUACUGAAUAAACUGAAGAUAAACACAGAGGGAAAGAACUAAGGUAAAGGAAGCCUGGGAAAGACUUCUUGAUUUAUAUGAAACUAUUAAUAAAAUGUUAUUCCAAGUAAAUUCGCUUUGAAAAAUGAACAUUUCAUGCUAAUUAGUUUUUUAUAUCAUGAUGCAUUAUGGUAACAAUGUAAUGCAUUUAUUAAUAGUUAAUAGAAUCUGUAGUAAUUUAAGUGAUAUUUUAAUUUUGUCCAUAAUAAAAGUUUAUAUGUCUAAAUUGGACCUUACUAAAUGCUAUGUAGGGAAGCCAAAUGUUGACUUUGAAAUCAUUCAUCUGUUUGCAUUUCCUCAAUUUAUUUUAAACCUACUUUUGUCCAGAAGAAGAGAGUCCAUGUUGAUUAUUUCAUCCCUGAAUUUGCAUUACAGUUAUAGCAAAGGAAGAAAAUGUGUGAUAUGUAAGCCUGCCUUUUACAUUCAGUUUAAUAACAAUGACCUUUCCUGACAGUGACCUGAAGCAGAAUAAUCUAAGAGCCAUGUGCCUUGAUGGGGAGGAAGAAAUAUUUUAGGAUAUGAGCUUUUUAUAGUCUCUUCUUAGUAAUUAGUAAUUCACCAAUUGUGAAGUCUGAGUAGAAGUAAAAAAAAAAAAAAAAAAAAAGAUUGUAGGCUUGGUGAAGUAAAAAAUAUGAAGAAGAAAAUUUAAAGUAGAAGAAGUUGUAUUUCCAGCAACAUGGUAGGAAGUUCUUUGCCCUAAAUUUCCAUCUCACAAAUGCUGAGUUAGAUUUGGUAGUUAUUCUAAAAGUUGUUCAGGAUGAAAAUCAGCGUCCAUGUAGUGAUGCUCUGCCUUAAUUUGCUACAAGCAAUGCUGUCAUAUCUACUUAAAUUCUUAGAUGGAUUCAUGAGUUCAGUGGGAUUGGUAUUCCCUCCACUAUGCAGAUGGCAAUUCCUCCCAGCCUUAUAUCCAGUGCAAUUAUUAUGCACGUAUUUCUUUUAAUCUUUUAAAGAGACUCCACUGAAUAUUUUGAAGUCCAUUUUCUAGUCCUUUUACUCUUUAUGGAACUGAUGGAGUACUUGGGACUUGUCCCAUUUUUAAAGUAGCUUGGUGCAGUGGAUAGAAUAUUGGGCUUGGAGUUAGGAAGAUUUUCAGUAAGUCUCUUGAUUCCUUCAUCCCUUCAGUUAUUAGCCUUCUCUCACUUUAAAUUAGUUUACAUUUGGUAUUUACUUACUUUUGCAUAUGUACAUAAAUUUUGUGCAUAUGUACCCUGUCACUUCCCAUAAAAUGUUAGCUCCAAUGAUAGAGUGCGUUUUGGGCUGUUUUUUUUUUUAAAUAGUAUUUUUUCCCAUUUACUAAUCAAGACAAUUUUUAGCAUUCAUUUUUACAAGACUGAGUUCCAAUUUUUCUCUUCCCUAUUCCUUUUUCCUAAAUGGUAGGGAAUUUUAAAUCAAUUAUAUAUGUGCUAUCAUGUAAAACAUUUCCAUAUUAAUCACAAUUGCAAAAAAAAGAAACAGAUCAAAAGGAAAAACACACAUGAAAAAGAAUAAAGUGAAGAAAGUAUGGUUCGAGAUCUGCAUUCAGAGACCAUGAGUUCUUUAAAUGUAUGUAGUUGGCAUUUUUUUCAUUAUUAUUUUGUAUUUGUCUUAUAUCAUUAUGUUGCUGAGAAAAACUGAGUCAUUCAUACUUGUUCAUCACACAGUGUUGCUAAUAAUGUGUACAAUGUUUUUCUGGUUCUGCUCAUUUCACUUUGUAUCAGUUAAUGCAAGCCUUUCCAAGUUUUGCUGAAAUCUGCCUGUUUAUCAUUCUUAUUGCACAGUAUUAUUCCAUUAUAUUUAUAUACUACAAUUUGUUCAGCCAUGUCUACUUCUUUUGUAUCCCCUCAAUUUCUAAUAUUUUACUACCAUGAAAAAGGCUGCCAUAUAUAUUUUUGUAUAUUUAAGUCUUUCCCCCUUUUUUGUUAUCUCUUUAAGAUGCAGAACUAGUAAUGGUAGUACAGAUAUGCACAGUUUGGUGGCCUUUGAGCCAUAGGGCCA